GGCACUUUGGCGGAGUGGUUAACGCGAUGCCCUGCUAUUAUUAAUAGCCUAGGCAUUCCCUUCGGGGGCGUGUGUUCGAAUCACACAGGUGUCG
RNAcentral lists this transfer RNA (94 nucleotides) under Hypoxylon sp. EC38. RNAcentral's name for it is "tRNA-Ser". It matches the Rfam family "tRNA". Rfam says of the family: Transfer RNA (tRNA) molecules are approximately 80 nucleotides in length. Their secondary structure includes four short double-helical elements and three loops (D, anti-codon, and T loops). Lineage: Eukaryota; Fungi; Ascomycota; Sordariomycetes; Xylariales; Hypoxylaceae. RNAcentral also lists the same sequence under 1 other name. The record is from RNAcentral.